Molecule: ribosomal RNA, 456 nt
Filed under: Listeria monocytogenes
Lineage: Bacteria; Bacillati; Bacillota; Bacilli; Caryophanales; Listeriaceae
Description: partial 23S ribosomal RNA
Rfam family: Bacterial large subunit ribosomal RNA
Source: RNAcentral
CUGAAUAGGGCGCAUAAGUAACAGGUCGUAGACCCGAAACCAGGUGAUCUACCCAUGUCCAGGAUGAAGGUAAGGUAAUACUUACUGGAGGUCCGAACCCACGCACGUUGAAAAGUGCGGGGAUGAGGUGUGGGUAGCGGAGAAAUUCCAAUCGAACUUGGAGAUAGCUGGUUCUCUCCGAAAUAGCUUUAGGGCUAGCCUCGAGGUAAAGAGUCAUGGAGGUAGAGCACUGUUUGGACUAGGGGCCCUUCUCGGGUUACCGAAUUCAGAUAAACUCCGAAUGCCAUGUACUUAUACUCGGGAGUCAGACUGCGAGUGAUAAGAUCCGUAGUCGAAAGGGAAACAGCCCAGACCACCAGUUAAGGUCCCCAAAUAUAUGUUAAGUGGAAAAGGAUGUGGGGUUGCUUAGACAACCAGGAUGUUGGCUUAGAAGCAGCCACCAUUGAAAGAGUGCGU